RNAcentral lists this small nucleolar RNA (246 nucleotides) under Prunus dulcis (almond). Its description in RNAcentral is "sRNA ncRNA". The record is from RNAcentral. Lineage: Eukaryota; Viridiplantae; Streptophyta; Magnoliopsida; Rosales; Rosaceae.
GGGCUGUGAUUAGAAAGAGAGAGGCUUGAGUGGGAAUGCUCCAAACACUGGAGCAAACCCAAUUCGAAUCUGAAAGGAGAAAGAAAACAAAGAAAACCAGAAAAGUCGCCGCCCCUUUUCAUCCAAAGGCAGAGGCUUUGGCGUCUCUGGAAAAAAAAUCUUUGCUUUCUUUCCUCUUUCGUUUCCAAUUGGGUUUCGACCCACAAUGACAGGCCAUCCAAUUUCUAUACACUUGAUAUGAGCCCU